UCAGGUCCAUUAGAAAAGCAUGAAAAUGAUGGUACUCAAACAUCGAUGUACUUUGGAGAUUCAUCAUCAGAUUUCUUUUGCUCUCUCCCAUUCCUCAACCUCUGGUGGCUCCACCAGCCCCAGACCACCUUGCAUCAGAAAUUCAUAACCUUCUUCAGGAUGAAACACGAGAUCUACCAGAUGCUGACCAAUAUCUACAAACUUCACAAGUUCCCCAUUCUCAGACAACACCAGAAGCUUUGCAUCGAGAAGAUUCUUGACGACCAUUUAACCCUCAGAACGAGUUGCCAACAUACCGUCCCCGAUCCAGCUGUCCAUCAUAGAUGUUCUGCCAACCACUUUGCUCUUUCUUUGCAUUGCCAAACUCUUCAAGCACUUUCUAGUUACAUCAUCAUCUAGAAGUUCAAUGCAGAAUUUCAACACAUUCACUGAAAGGUUUUCAUAAUCAUCACGACAGGAUGCAUGUUGCAUGCUCAAACUGUUGAGCGCAUAUUCCCAGGUUUCAGUGUCCGACACAUUGCUUAAAGCCCUUGCCAUAAGAGCGAGCGAGCGAGAAUCACGUGCACACGCUCUGACUAUUUCUUUGGCUAUUGUCUGGAUUUCCAUGGAAAGCACUACUUCACCCGCAUUUUGGUAGAACAGUUCCCAAGAUAACGUAUCAUGAUUUUCAGUGUGUCCUAUGUUAGCAUCACUUGACAUCUCAACUUGCAUACAUCCCUCAUCUGAAGCAGCAAAUGGACCGCUCUGUGUGGUCGCCUCCACAAAAUGAAUAUCCUCCUGGAAGCUUUCAGAUACUGUGAGUUUUCGGUAUUUUUGCCUUGCUCGUGCCACCAUUCCAUCUUCGCUGUCAGAGUCUGAGUAACACGAGUCAGUUUCUUUACAAGGAUUGUCUAGAUCGCUCUGCAAUUGCACCUCCAAAGGAAUUGGUUCAAUGUCUAUUCCUUCGGAGCAUCUGUCCUGCAUCGGAUCAGCAAUAUCUCCUAGACACUGCAUUGCCUUGGAAUUGUUGCCUAAAGCUAACGUGAAGAUUUCUUCUCUUUGGUUCUGACCAUUGUGGCUUGGCACCUUUUUUUAUCUUAGAGUCCUCUGCCCUGCAAAAUCGCUCGGUCCAACCUGGGGAUUCAUAAGCUGCAGCCGAAUAGAUGAAAGCGGGUCAAACAUGACAGAUGCGUAUUCCAGAUGUUCUUUAUCUCAGCAUCUGUCCUUCCAGGAAGAUGCCCUGCAAUUGCACUCCACCUGCAGCAGUAUGUGCAUUCUGAAAAUUAAACACAAGGAAACUAGAACUAAUACCAUUAUUAUGGGAAGUCUGGGUUGUGGGACUCAAGCCAAACACAGUGAUUGUGAGAAACACCAUCGAGACUACUUUGGUGCAAAUUUUUCCAAAGCCAUGCCAGGAUAGACUGAAGGCUUGGUUUCGUGACGCAUUGCAAUCAGAUAUACAUGCGAGUGAAUGGUUGAAGAGCAAAGCAAUGGUCCUGGGUUGUAACUUUCAGGCAUGGGAGUAACCAAAGUGAAGAUAGAUGGUUAAGAUUACCAGCCGAAUGUGAUGCAUCAUUUUAGAAAGUCCAGUCAGAGUGUAGGAAAAUCAUUUGUAGUGUCAAAAUUGUUCAGGGCAUUUAUCGCUUGCAAGUGAAUAAUUAGCCAGUAGUUGCAGGUUACCUGUUUCCGAGUUGUUGAUGGAGUUUAAUGAUGACUUCUUGUUCAUCUUCGGAGAAUUUGCCUCUUCUGAUAUUUGGCCUCAAGUAGUUCAUCCACCUCAGCCUGCAGCUUUUGCCACUCCUUUUGAGCCCUGCUGCCUUAGGCAUAUGAUUCCAACUCCAAAUACCGAAUCUUUUUAUGUAAUUAGUCAGCUUCGUGUCUUCCUCUACACUCCACGGCCCCUUCUUCAAUGGACCUGUAUAAGGACAAACGCCAUUGCCACGACAAGAUUCAGUAAUCACACUGAUACUAAUGUGAGGAUAGUAGUAGUUAAUGAGACGGACAUUCACCGCAGUGAUCAUUCACCACGAAACUUUCACUUCUUGCUUCCUUGAUUCUUGCUCCUUCAGCAGAAGCCUGUCGAAUAAUUCGAGCCCCUAGCCGGAAUUUGUUACUUCUUGUCCAGCUAGAGUUAUCAGUGAAAGAUAUGCCGCCAAGGCAAGCAAUCCGUUCUCACAAAGUGACUAAAAGCUCUCCUGCCUUCUGUUUCACUGAUAAUACAAGCAUUGAAAUCCUGCUCCGUCCAAUCUUCUUCUGGUUCAUGGCAUCCAAAGUUACCGUCCAGCACUACAAUCUCAAUCCUCUCCGAUGAUAGAGGAUCAGCGCUGACUGUUUUAUUGGUCCUCUCAUCGAGUAACCUAAGUUUGAUGGGAUUAUUUUCCUCAUCUACUAGAUAACUGCCGGUGAAGAUAGUAGCGCACAACUUGUUGACAAAUUCCAAUCGAAGUAGAGCACUUUCUCCUCGGGAAGUUUCCU
Molecule: non-coding RNA, 2454 nt
Organism: Punica granatum (pomegranate)
Lineage: Eukaryota; Viridiplantae; Streptophyta; Magnoliopsida; Myrtales; Lythraceae
Source: RefSeq, a predicted model, not a curated record